GGAGCAGUGGCUGCUAUUUGCCGAGACCAAACGGGCUUAUACCUAGGGUUGUCGGCAGUGUUUUUCCAAGGAACCAAUUACCCUCAAAUCCUGGAGACAUAUGCGUGUCAGGAAGCACUCGCACUAGCAGAUGACCUAGCUGUGAGAGCCUUCUCUGUUGCAUCCGAUUGCCAAGGAGUGGUGGAUGACAUAAACAGGGGGACUGGAGGUCCAAAUGCAGUGAUCAUACAUUAGAUAAUGAACCAUUGUAAUAGUUUUAUUUCAUGUUCUUUCAUUCAUGAGCGUAGGAACUUUAACUUUAAGGCUCAUAACCUCGCCAAGUUUACUUGUAACCUAGGCGUAGGUAGACAUGUGUGGUUGGGCAAUCCCUAUGACCCAAACCUUGUACCUAUGACCUACACUUUGAAUGAAUAA
This 414-nucleotide ribosomal RNA is filed under the name Triticum aestivum (bread wheat). RNAcentral describes it as "partial small subunit ribosomal RNA". Lineage: Eukaryota; Viridiplantae; Streptophyta; Magnoliopsida; Poales; Poaceae. The record is from RNAcentral.